Molecule: ribosomal RNA, 253 nt
Filed under: uncultured bacterium
Lineage: Bacteria
Description: partial 16S ribosomal RNA
Rfam family: Bacterial small subunit ribosomal RNA
Source: RNAcentral
UACAGAGGGGGCAAGCGUUGUUCGGAAUUACUGGGCGUAAAGGGCGCGUAGGCGGCCUUCUAAGUCGAACGUGAAAUCCCCGGGCUCAACCCGGGAACUGCGUCCGAUACUGGAAGGCUUGAAUCCGGGAGAGGGAUGCGGAGUUCCAGGUGUAGCGGUGAAAUGCGUAGAUAUCGGAAGGAACAUCAGUGGCGAAAGCGACUUCCUGGACCAGUACCGACGUUCAGGCACGAAAGCGUGGGGAGCAAACAGG